RNAcentral lists this long non-coding RNA (712 nucleotides) under Hordeum vulgare. Its description in RNAcentral is "long non-coding RNA (HVUL_LNC011493)". The record is from RNAcentral. Lineage: Eukaryota; Viridiplantae; Streptophyta; Magnoliopsida; Poales; Poaceae.
GAUUGGCAGCCGGGGUGUACUCCGGGAUAACGUACGGCCUGAGAGAGGCCAGAGGGCACCAUGACUGGGUUGGUUUCUCGAUCUCUACUUGUCUCUAGAUAUUUAUCUACUUGCUGUUUCAGAAUUAACUAACUGGUCGGUGCUUGUUAACCGGAUGAUGAUGAUGCUGCUGCAGAAGAAUAGCGCGAUAGCAGGGGCGAUCGCCGGAGCAGCCGUCGCGCUGACAGGGGACAACGGGCACUCCGACCACGUCGUCCAUUUCGCCAUCACCGGAGCCGCACUGUCGAGCGCGGCGACCAUGCUCUCAGGCAUAUUCUAAGCCAUGGAGCGUGGGGCUAGGGCUAAAGAAAUUCGGGGCAGCUCUUGAAAUGUGUAGCGUUUCCCUUGAUUUCUCCAUGUACCUUCGACAGUUUGCGCACUCUGCCCCAUCUGCUAGCCAGCCCUGCAACUAAGCAAGUCCGAAUCUCGUUAGAAUUUCUCCAUGUACCUUGGAUAAUCUUGAAAUGUGUUUUAUCUAUGGCACUUCAGAAUGCUCAGGAGUUGGCCUCGAAUUAAUCCUCUAUAUGACCACAUAGAUGUGUAGAUGAGGGUACAUACAGUUGCUGGAGGAGCAAAUUGCUCAAAACAGCCACAUUUGUGGCUAGAGUAUUCUAAAACCACGGCUUUUGCCAAAAAUCACGAAUCACCGCCAUUUCUAUAGCAAAUGAGUAAC